RNAcentral lists this non-coding RNA (48 nucleotides) under Schistosoma mansoni. The record is from RNAcentral. Lineage: Eukaryota; Metazoa; Platyhelminthes; Trematoda; Strigeidida; Schistosomatidae.
AUCCAGCUGACGAGUCCCAAAUGAGAUGAAACGCGGGUCAAAGUGGAU